GACGAACGCUGGCGGCGUGCUUAACACAUGCAAGUCGAACGGAAAGGCCCUGCUUUUGUGGGGUGCCCGAGUGGCGAACGGGUGAGUAACACGUGAGUAACCUGCCCUUGACUUUGGGAUAACUUCAGGAAACUGGGGCUAAUACCGGAUAGGAGCUCCUGCUGCAUGGUGGGGGUUGGAAAGUUUCGGCGGUUGGGGAUGGACUCGCGCCUUAUCAGCUUGUUGGUGGGGUAGUGGCUUACCAAGGCUUUGACGGGUAGCCGGCCUGAGAGGGUGACCGGCCACAUUGGGACUGAGAUACGGCCCAGACUCCUACGGGAGGCAGCAGUGGGGAAUAUUGCACAAUGGGCGGAAGCCUGAUGCAGCAACGCCGCGUGCGGGAUGACGGCCUUCGGGUUGUAAACCGCUUUCGCCUGUGACGAAGCGUGAGUGACGGUAAUGGGUAAAGAAGCACCGGCUAACUACGUG
This 468-nucleotide ribosomal RNA is filed under the name uncultured bacterium. Its description in RNAcentral is "partial 16S ribosomal RNA". It matches the Rfam family "Bacterial small subunit ribosomal RNA", at positions 28 to 507 of the family's 1533-position model. The record is from RNAcentral.